Octopus bimaculoides (California two-spot octopus) is the source of this 4066-nucleotide long non-coding RNA. The record is from RefSeq and is a predicted model, not a curated record. NCBI's taxonomy places the organism in Eukaryota, Metazoa, Mollusca, Cephalopoda, Octopoda, Octopodidae.
AACUGUUGGAUAAUCUGACGGGUUAGUAGCAGUAACAGAAAGUUGCCAGCUGUUGGAGAGGCAACUCUCCGAUCGUUGGUUGACAAUGAAGAAUGUAAAAUAUCAAAACGGAUAGUUUCGAGGUGUUGAAACAGUUUCAGUCACAGUUUAUCAAUUGAAGAACUACAGGAGUUAGCACAGUAACAAAUCCGAAAAUUCUUGAAGAUCCUAGUGUUGAACUAACAACGCUAAAAAGAAUCAGGGCUGUAAUAACAUCACCAAACCAAGGAAAUUGUAGACCAGUUUAUUGAGAAUGCCUAACCGGGAGUCCACAGAUGUGUGAGGAAGAACCAUAGCUUAAACCCUCAUCCCAGAUCUAGUAUCUUUUGUCUUGUUUCUCUCCGUCGCUUUUCAACUAAAUCAAUGAUUUGAUGAAGAAAACCUUGGAGAUUAACCGUGGAGAAUUUCACGACUGAACACCGAACACAAAUUGUGAAAUUUUUCUAUCAAAGCCAAGAAGCAAAAUUCUAACUCAAAAAGUAUAUCAUCGACAUUACCUUUAAAAAUACCAAUGCUGGUGGCUGCGAACACAAGUCGUACAGCCCCAAGGCUGUGCCUAUGCUGGUGUUAUUAUAUAAAAUAAUAAUAAUAACAACAACAACAACAACAACAACAAUAAUAAUGGUUUGAAAUUUUGGAACAAGGCCAGAAAAAUCGGGAGAGGAGUUAAUUCUUUUAAAUCGGCCCAAGUGUUCAACUGGUACUUAUUUUAUCGACCCUGAAAGUAUGAAACGCAAAGUCGACCUCAAGAGAAUUUGAACUCAGAACGUAAGUACGGACGAAAUGCUGCAAAGCAUUUUGCCCGGCUUGCGAACAAUUCUGCCGCACUAGGGCGGAAAAACAUUUGGAACAGCAUAAUAAACAAAGACAACGAGGAUUUACAUAAAAUCUAAUAAAAAGUCAGUGAUAGAACUAAUAGCAAAAAUGAUAACAGCAACAAGAAAAUCAUAAAAAAUUCAAAUCCCCAAGCGAUAUUCAGUUGUUUGGGUUGUGUUAUUACCAUUGUUGUUACAUAACGGCAACGAAAGAACCACACAGAUCCCAAGGCACCCUUAUCAUCAGCAGUCCCAUGGUAAAUAGUCCAUUUUAAGUUUACAAGUGCGUACAUAGAGUUGGUCCAUUCCCUAGGGCCAUUGUCGCUACAUUCGCCCACCUUUCAGCUAAUUUACGGCAGGGAAUGAGGAUUAGCAUCUUCCUGUCCACCUUAAUAUUUCUUACAGAGUGGAGCUUGAAAAAGUCGAUGAGGGCUUGGCGGAAAAGGAAAGCGUCAGUCUUCAGAACACUAUACGAGCAUGUGCAAGAUAAUUUCAUCGCUCUACACGUACCUCAGCGAGACGCGACUGAGAAUACUACCAUGUCGGUAGAGUUUAUCCCGAACAAGCAAUGCCCUCCUUCCAUCCUAAUAGCGAUGUAAUGCCAAGGAUUUACGGGAAUUAUCCAUGCUCCCCACCCGAAAGUACCCUGGAAAAGAUCAGCCAUAGAUUCCCCGAGGAGGUCGUCGUUCUUAACCCAUCAUUAAUUCUUCAUAAACCAUAUUGGAACAUCCACCGAUCGCAUUGCCCGACAAGUUGGAAAAUGUGAGCACCUGACGGCACACAAAAUGUCAGGUAUCUUGCUUCGGUCUACACUUGUUCCAAGACUGCAGCUCUUUCAAAGAGACGAACUGCAGAAGUGUAGGUCUCGUCCACCACACCACCUCACCACCUCACCGCCAAAGAAUUGACAAAGAUUUCGUGACCUUAGCACAUACCUGCUCAUCAUUAGCCACGGCAUUCUAAGUUCUCCACGCAGGGGAUGUUGACAGGAAAUGAACCGUCCGACUAGUGGAACACGCCUUCCCCCAUUCAGAAAGCGGAAGAGCAACCAUUCCAUUCUGGUUAUGUGUGAAGCGGGGAAACGUAUGUCGGUCAGACAGUAGUAGAUGAUAGAUGCGAUGUAAGCAUUCGCAACUUCUACCAGAACCUUCAAAAAUAGUUACCUCUCAGUGAGAUUAGCCACCCUGUUUGUCAUUUCCUAGUUCUUGUCCCUCUGAAGAUCAGGACCAAAUCCCGAGCAAUUUAACUUGUCCGCCCAUUCAGCGCUCCACGACACUGUUCGAUGACAUGGACUUGCCUCUACAAGUACUAAGGUGUAGUCCCCAAAACUUCUGCUUAAUUCUUAUUCUUGUUAACUCCUCGUAUUCCAUUAGACCAGAACUAAUCACCUCGAUGUGCUUGGUGUCCGACAUUAUUACGGUACAUCGUACACAUACGCUGACACCGAACUCAUGCUCUCUAGAUUUGUCAUGAACCUUUGUAGUCGCUCUAAAGGCAGCAUGUACAGAAAGGGAGAAAGUGAGCAAAUAGACAUAAGCAGUUUGUGAGUUAGAUUGGACUGACGAUUACGUGAUCACCGGUUCGAUUCCAUCACGCAGAACUUUGGAAAGGUAUUAUAAUUUACCAUAGUUUCAGUUCUACAAAUGCUUUGAAUGUGAAAUUUGGUUGUCAGAAUCUGUUUGGAGACUUCUUGUGUUGGAUAGUAGAUUUCAUCCGGUCACCUGGUUAAACAUUACCACCUGUUUCUUGAUUGCCUCCAGUGGAGUUUCCGAUCUGAGGAAAAUGUUUCCUUUUCCUCCCACUAAUCUCGGAAAUUUCGAAGAACCCAGUGGUGUUGCCCUUCCUUAUUAAAGGCAUUAGGAAAGGUCAGUGAAACAUAGGCAGUAGCAAGGGAGAAAAAGCUGAUAAAAUGAUGAGUGAUUAAGAAAAUAAAGACAUAAUGAAGAUUACUUUGAUUGAAUCGAUAAACACUGAACAAAUGAUAACGGUAAAUAGCUCUGAGAAUAUUAAUAAUUUCUACAAGAAUAUUUCUUAGAGAAGCGAUUAGUGUCUCAAAAUUUAUUGAGAAUUGUGGAGGCGGAGAUAAUAGAAGGUAUAAGCAAAGAUUUUCUUCUUAAAAUGUAGCGAAAGGAUUUUGGUUAUUUCAUAUUUGCAUGAUUACAUCUGGUGUUACGUGAUGAUACGGUUACAGUUUUUAAAGUUGUCCGUUUACUUUGGAUAAUUAAGAAAAAAAAAAAAAAGAAAACAAAUUUCGAUUGAUAAAAGAAAUAGGUUUUAUUUACAGGUUGCUCGGACUAAAUGUGAGGAUUUUUUUAUGUCGUCUUUUCAGGAAUAGCUUGGAGUAUCGGUGAACAGUCAACGGCGUUGAUGUAUGUAAAGUUAGCUAACAUGUAUGCUGGAAGCCAUCUGAAUAUUGAAAAAAGAGUUACCUGCAUCAUGAUGCGCGCCAGGUAUCAAAAUGCCGACAUAAUGACAGCUACUUAAUGCUCUGUGAAUACUGUAAAAACUGUAAGACGUGACAUGGACAGUUGCAACGGGGACUACGAAGCCGUGUUCAACAGGCGUUCUAACUGCAGCCACACUCUGAAAUUCAUACUUACAUCUUCGAAUAGAGUCUUGGGCUCAAUUCACAUGGCUAUGUGAAGCUGCUAAAGACUAGUGAAACACUGGCUGGGGAGGGUCGGUGCUGGAAGUCCACACGUGUGACAGCAGGGCUCGGUUCCUUGCCAUACCUUCAGAAAGUGGUUGUUGGAAAACUUGUACGACUUCAUCAGCCCCAAUUUCUGGCCUCUGAACUCCUCUGAUUGUUAUCCCAUGGAUAACAAUGUGUGGGGCACAGUUGAGAAAAAUCAUCAACUGCUCUGCCUGCAACACCAAGGCCGAGCUUGUGGCCAAGAUCAAAGAAGUGUUUGAAGAUCUUCCUGGAGACACAUCGAGGAACGCACGCCCAGGUUGCGGGGCCGUCUCGAGGCUGUGGUAGAAGUUGAGAGCGGCUACUUUGAGUAAACUGCUAUUUCUCAGCCAUAAUCUAGUUGAUAUCUUUUGAUUAAAAAAAAAAACAACUUUUAUUUUGAAUAGGAUAUUGUGUUUUCAUUUCUUUUUAUGCAAAUUGUCAAAUUUUGCUCAAACACCCUAUAUCUGCAUCAAGUUGUUGAUUAAAGCAAAGUAAACGUACACAUUCAUAUAGUUUAUUCCGCAAAUUAUUUUACAGG